AUCCAUGUAGCGCAAUGCAGCGUUGGGCGUUGCGUUAGCGCGUUGGAUUUCUGAUCCAAAAAUCGUGGUUUCGAAUCCUACCUGGGAUG
This is a non-coding RNA of Trichonephila clavipes, 89 nucleotides long. Lineage: Eukaryota; Metazoa; Arthropoda; Arachnida; Araneae; Nephilidae. The record is from the annotation of a GenBank genome assembly.